This 352-nucleotide long non-coding RNA is filed under the name Vitis vinifera (wine grape). Its description in RNAcentral is "long non-coding RNA (VVIN_LNC002562)". Lineage: Eukaryota; Viridiplantae; Streptophyta; Magnoliopsida; Vitales; Vitaceae. The record is from RNAcentral.
AGUCUCAAAUGUUUCUAGCAUACAGAUGUCUAGGAUUUGAUUAGUAAAAAAAAUUCAAUGUUGUGGAUGGUCAUGUCCCAAGUUCAGAGCUAAUCAGAGUGCAGUUGAAAGUGAUACAAAAAUACCUGAAUGAGGCCAAUACAAUAAUACAAACUUGCGGAAGGAUGGACAAUGAAUACAAUCUACUCCAAAUCAACAACCACCCUGCAGAAAUCAAUGAUGUAUUGGUCAGUAAUAAAAGGACAGAAUGAAUGGGAAUAGUAAGCGUUAUGACAGAUUCAUCCCUACUAGCACAGACUUGAUGCAGCAAGGUUGGUGGCUGUUGGCAUCAAAGAUAAAAAGAUUCAGUGAC